RNAcentral lists this long non-coding RNA (207 nucleotides) under Brassica napus (rape). RNAcentral describes it as "long non-coding RNA (BNAP_LNC000182)". Lineage: Eukaryota; Viridiplantae; Streptophyta; Magnoliopsida; Brassicales; Brassicaceae. The record is from RNAcentral.
UGGUUGUGGGUUCAAUUUUGUGGGAGAUUUUAAAUAUCAUAUCAUCAGAAGUCCAUCACAGAUCCCUUAUAAUAUGGAUUGAAUAAGCCACGUAUAGAUAGAACUUUAUUUUCGUUGUCACGGGGUGAAUUAUUGAUCUCCUCAAAUCAGUGUCUGAAUUGUUAACUCGUUAUUUAAUUAUAUGACAACAUAACUUUGUUUAUUUUA